UGAACGUUGGCGGCGUGGAUUAGGCAUGCAAGUCGUGCGACAAGCCCCCUUCGGGGGGUGGAGGAGCGGCGAAAGGGAGAGUAAUGCGUGGAUACCUACCCCCGGGUCUGGGAUAGCCGCGGGAAACUGCGGGUAAUACCGGAUAACGUCUCCGGACCAAAGGUGUGAUUCCGCCUGAGGAGGGGUCCACGUCCUAUUAGCUUGUUGGUGGGGUAAUGGCCUACCAAGGCAAUGAUGGGUACCGGGCGUGAGAGCGUGGCCCGGCUCACUGGGACUGAGACACUGCCCAGACACCUACGGGUGGCUGCAGUCGAGAAUCUUCGGCAAUGGGCGCAAGCCUGACCGAGCGACGCCGCGUGCGGGAUGAAGGCCUUCGGGUUGUAAACCGCUGUCAGAGGGGAGGAAAUGCUGGUGGGUUCUCCCUCCAGUUUGACCUAUCCUCAGAGGAAGUACGGGCUAAGUUC
RNAcentral lists this ribosomal RNA (464 nucleotides) under uncultured bacterium. RNAcentral describes it as "bacterial SSU rRNA". It matches the Rfam family "Bacterial small subunit ribosomal RNA", at positions 30 to 504 of the family's 1533-position model. The record is from RNAcentral.